GGCACAUUGCUGGCCGUAACUUCCGCUGACUGGGGUGGCAACGGCGGAAGCUGAGCUGCGGCUUCAGGUCGGAGCUGCCGAGGUCCUGUUCUGAGGUGCUGGCAUCAGGAUGCUAAAUUUUGGAGUCUAGCAGUUCUCAGUUUUCUCAGAGCCAGGACCCUCUGCUUUUCCCAGGCUGUGACAGUGUCCAAGGCAAGAGUCUGGAUUCCAAAUCUCAGGAAGGCUGAAUUGGUGCGGAUCCCCACUCUACCACUUUCCAGGACUGAAGGUUUGACAUUACC
Fukomys damarensis (Damara mole-rat) is the source of this 281-nucleotide long non-coding RNA. RefSeq lists it as uncharacterized. The record is from RefSeq and is a predicted model, not a curated record. The transcript has 3 exons. Lineage: Eukaryota; Metazoa; Chordata; Mammalia; Rodentia; Bathyergidae.